CCCUUAGAUGUUCUGGGCCGCACGCGUGCUACACUGAGUGGAUCAGCGGGUCAGGUUGCGCGAAAGCGUUUCCUAAUCUUGAAAUCCGCUCGUGAUGGGGAUUGACGGUUGCAAUUUUCUGUCAUGAACGAGGAAUACCUUGUAAGCGCGGGUCAUCAUCCCGCGCUGAAUACGUCCCUGUCCUUUGUACACACCGCCCGUCGCUCCUACCGAUUGAGUGGUCCGGUGAGGCUUUGGGAUCUGAGCGGAAAGAGCGUUUCGCUCGUUCUGCCCGGAAAACUCAGUCGAACCUUAUCAUUUAGAGGAAGGAGAAGUCGUAACA
RNAcentral lists this ribosomal RNA (322 nucleotides) under uncultured eukaryote. RNAcentral's name for it is "partial 18S ribosomal RNA". It matches the Rfam family "Eukaryotic small subunit ribosomal RNA", at positions 1470 to 1796 of the family's 1831-position model. The record is from RNAcentral.